ACGGGGGGGGCAAGCGUUGUUCGGAAUUACUGGGCGUAAAGGGCUCGUAGGUGGCCAACUAAGUCGGACGUGAAAUCCCUCGGCUUAACCGGGGAACUGCGUCCGAUACUGGAUGGCUUGAAUCCGGGAGAGGGAUGCAGAAUUCCAGGUGUAGCGGUGAAAUGCGUAGAUAUUGGGAGGAACACCGGUGGCGAAGGCGGCUACCUGGACCGGUUCUGACGCUGAUGCGCGAAAGCGUGGGUAGCAAACAGGA
RNAcentral lists this ribosomal RNA (253 nucleotides) under uncultured prokaryote. RNAcentral describes it as "partial 16S ribosomal RNA". It matches the Rfam family "Bacterial small subunit ribosomal RNA", at positions 525 to 777 of the family's 1533-position model. The record is from RNAcentral.